This 216-nucleotide ribosomal RNA is filed under the name Glomeromycotina sp. RNAcentral describes it as "partial small subunit ribosomal RNA". The stretch from base 40 to 216 matches the Rfam family "Eukaryotic small subunit ribosomal RNA", at positions 686 to 864 of the family's 1831-position model. Lineage: Eukaryota; Fungi; Glomeromycota. The record is from RNAcentral.
GGGUCAGUAGGUUGGUCGUGCCACCGGUACGUACUGGUCUCACUGAUUCCUCCUUCCUGAAGAACCGUAAUGCCAUUAAUUUGGUGUUGCGGGGAAUCAGGACUGUUACUUUGAAAAAAUUAGAGUGUUUAAAGCAAGCUAACGCUUGAAUACAUUAGCAUGGAAUAAUGAAAUAGGACGAUCGAUCCUAUUUUCUUGGUUUCUAGGAUUGACGUA